UCAGGAUAGCUCRAUCCGGUAGAGCRGAGGANUGAAAAUUCUCGUGUCGCCAGUUCAAAUCUGGUUCCUG
This 70-nucleotide transfer RNA is filed under the name Erica tysonii. RNAcentral's name for it is "tRNA-Phe". It matches the Rfam family "tRNA". Rfam says of the family: Transfer RNA (tRNA) molecules are approximately 80 nucleotides in length. Their secondary structure includes four short double-helical elements and three loops (D, anti-codon, and T loops). Lineage: Eukaryota; Viridiplantae; Streptophyta; Magnoliopsida; Ericales; Ericaceae. The record is from RNAcentral.